CCGGUUCCGUACUUGAUAACUGCAAUAUUUUCGACAUUUGAUAAAUGAUUACUCAGGACAUUCGGGAACGACGUGGUUGUAACGAACAUCGCCGUUAAUAUAAAAGAAGUCGGGCAUGACAGCAUUGAUAGUAUCGAUCAUCUUAUCUUUUCCCAACUGAUUCUUUUGCCGUUAUUCCUUAACGCGACAAUAAUUAUGAAGUCAAUCCUCGUUUUCCUUGCCGUAGCCGGCCUUGUUGCCGUGAUGCAUGCCCAAGGAAUCCAACAAGGACCUAUUCCACCCCAACAAGGACCUGUUCCACCCCAACAAGGCGGCCCAGGUGGUGCGCCAGGGGUUGGACCUGGUUCCAGUGGUUCUAGUGGAGGCCUCUCUGGACAAGGUGUACCUCCACCCCUUCCUGGUCAAGGUCAAGAAAUCGUAGGUGGUGGUGGUAAUGCGCAGUACGGAGAAGGUACAGGUGCUGUGGGCGGCAACUGCUUUGGGUCAGGGUGCAAUUGAUGUUUGUGGUGGUGCGCACUUAAUGCUGUAUCAUGAACUCUAAGUUGAUAAUAUUCAAACUAACCGACCUUGAUUUUUUACUGGCUGAGCAAUGUAACACUACAACAAGAUCGGAGCGUAAAAGACAUUCUAGAGAAUACGAUCCAAGAUCAGCUAUUAAAGAGCUGCAUGCUGUGCAGAA
Long non-coding RNA from Paramacrobiotus metropolitanus, 679 nucleotides. RefSeq lists it as uncharacterized. NCBI's taxonomy places the organism in Eukaryota, Metazoa, Tardigrada, Eutardigrada, Parachela, Macrobiotidae. The transcript has 2 exons. The record is from RefSeq and is a predicted model, not a curated record.